Molecule: ribosomal RNA, 954 nt
Filed under: Sauvagesinella becki
Lineage: Eukaryota; Metazoa; Arthropoda; Insecta; Coleoptera; Scarabaeidae
Description: SSU rRNA
Rfam family: Eukaryotic small subunit ribosomal RNA
Source: RNAcentral
CCAGUAGUCAUAUGCUUGUCUCAAAGAUUAAGCCAUGCAUGUCUCAGUACAAGCCAAAUUAAGGUGAAACCGCGAAAGGCUCAUCUAAAUCAGUUAUGGUUCCUUAGAUCGUACCCACAUUUACUUGGAUAACUGUGGUAAUUCUAGAGCUAAUACAUGCAAACAGAGCUCCGACCGGAGACGGAAGGAGCGCUUUUAUUAGAUCAAAACCAAUCGGUGGCGGGUCUCCCGUCACCGUACACCUUGGUGACUCUGAAUAACUUAUUGCUGAUCGCACGGUCUCGCACCGGCGACGCAUCUUUCAAAUGUCUGCCUUAUCAACUGUCGAUGGUAGGUUCUGCGCCUACCAUGGUUGUAACGGGUAACGGGGAAUCAGGGUUCGAUUCCGGAGAGGGAGCCUGAGAAACGGCUACCACAUCCAAGGAAGGCAGCAGGCGCGCAAAUUACCCACUCCCGGCACGGGGAGGUAGUGACGAAAAAUAACGAUACGGGACUCAUCCGAGGCCCCGUAAUCGGAAUGAGUACACUCUAAACCCUUUAACGAGGAUCAAUUGGAGGGCAAGUCUGGUGCCAGCAGCCGCGGUAAUUCCAGCUCCAAUAGCGUAUAUUAAAGUUGUUGCGGUUAAAAAGCUCGUAGUCGAAUUUGUGUCCCGCGCCGCCGGUUCAUCGCUCGCGGUGUCAACUGGCGUGUCCGCGGGACGUCCUGCCGGUGGGCUUAGCCCCCCGUGGGCGGCCCAAUCUCAAUCCCACCGCGGUGCUCUUCACUGAGUGUCGAGGUGGGCCGGCACGUUUACUUUGAACAAAUUAGAGUGCUUAAAGCAGGCUAAAACAUCGCCUGAAUACUGUGUGCAUGGAAUAAUGGAAUAGGACCUCGGUUCUAUUUUGUUGGUUUUCGGAACCCCGAGGUAAUGAUUAAUAGGAACGGAUGGGGGCAUUCGUAUUGCGACGUUAGAG